GCAGUUUCAUUCACAAAAAUGUUAUUAAAGGGUAAAAAGAAGACUUUCGGAGUUCAGCGCUUCAACAAAUCAGUGAACAAAUUUAGCAGCAUUAGUAAUGGGAAUAGAGGACCCAAAACUAUUUGAAAAUAUUAGUAGUACAGCAGCCAGCAACAUGUCAUCAGAGCAAUGCUUUACAGUGACAUACAUAAAGAGUGAAUAUGUAGUUAGAGUUAGUUAGAUGCUAAAAAAGGCAAAGUGAUCUAUGAUAUAUAUGAGAGGCUAAAGUAGGUGAUGUUUCAUUUUAACAGUGUUACCAUGCAAAAGGGGAGUGCUGGGUUAGUUGAUUUCAGUGACCAGGGGGUCCAGUUUGGUUAGGCAACAAAAGCACUUCGGUUAAGAUUAGGGAAAUAUUGUGGUUUUGGGUAAAUGUUAAUAAACCUGUUGUGUGUCAA
Long non-coding RNA from Sander lucioperca (pikeperch), 434 nucleotides. RefSeq lists it as uncharacterized. NCBI's taxonomy places the organism in Eukaryota, Metazoa, Chordata, Actinopteri, Perciformes, Percidae. The transcript is spliced from 2 exons. The record is from RefSeq and is a predicted model, not a curated record.